GGAGAGAUGUCCGAGUGGUUUAUGGAGCUGGUCUUGAAAACCAGUGACCCGCAAGGGCCGGGGGUUCGAAUCCCUCUCUCUCCGCCA
Molecule: transfer RNA, 87 nt
Filed under: Bacillota bacterium
Lineage: Bacteria; Bacillati; Bacillota
Description: Firmicutes bacterium (gut metagenome) tRNA-Ser
Rfam family: tRNA
About the family: Transfer RNA (tRNA) molecules are approximately 80 nucleotides in length. Their secondary structure includes four short double-helical elements and three loops (D, anti-codon, and T loops).
Source: RNAcentral